RNAcentral lists this ribosomal RNA (440 nucleotides) under uncultured bacterium. RNAcentral's name for it is "partial 16S ribosomal RNA". It matches the Rfam family "Bacterial small subunit ribosomal RNA", at positions 338 to 795 of the family's 1533-position model. The record is from RNAcentral.
CCUACGGGCGGCAGCAGUGGGGGAUAUUGCACAAUGGGGGGAACCCUGAUGCAGCGACGCCGCGUGGGUGAAGAAGCGCCUCGGCGCGUAAAGCCCUGUCAGCAGGGAAGAAAAUGACGGUACCUGAAGAAGAAGCCCCGGCUAACUACGUGCCAGCAGCCGCGGGAAUACGGAGGGGGCAAGCGUUAUCCGGAUUUACUGGGGGUAAAGGGGGCGCAGACGGCGAUGCAAGCCAGGAGUGAAAGCCCGGGGCCCAACCCCGGGACUGCUCUUGGAACUGCGGGGCUGUAGUGCAGGAGGGGCAGGCGGAAUUCCUGGUGUAGCGGUGAAAUGCGUAGAUAUCAGGAGGAACACCGGUGGCGAAGGCGGCCUGCUGGACUGCAACUGACGUUGAGGCCCGAAAGCGUGGGGAGCAAACAGGAUUAGAUACCCGAGUAGUC